Malus domestica (apple) is the source of this 713-nucleotide long non-coding RNA. RefSeq lists it as uncharacterized. NCBI's taxonomy places the organism in Eukaryota, Viridiplantae, Streptophyta, Magnoliopsida, Rosales, Rosaceae. The record is from RefSeq and is a predicted model, not a curated record.
UAACUUUAAAAGUCAUAAACAUUAGGUGUAAAUUGUACAAAAUUCACGAGUACAGUUAGUGAGGGAAGAGAAAUACAUCAGAACGCAAGGCGUAGAUCUUGUGGAAUAAGUUAUCAGUGUAAAAUUAGAAUCUUGUAGCUUGAGGAAGAUUGAUGAUUGGCUAUUAGAAAUAUUUGGAACGAAUUUGUGGAUCACUAAUUAGUUUAUAUAUUUGGCAGAGCUUGGCAUUGCAAUUGUAUUCUGGUUAUAGACCAUCCGACUUGAAAAUGUGUGUCCUUGCUAUUCAUGACCUGCAGUUGAACAGAAAAUCAAGCUCUCUGCAAGCGAUAAGAGAAAAAUACAUGAGACCAAAGAAUAAGAGCGUGGCGAAACUGUCUUCGCUCUCUGAAAUUCCUGCAACUUAUUUUGAGGCCAUCUACCCAUGAAUAUCUCCAAGAUCUUGAAGGAGGAAGAUGAUAUUUGAUUUGACCUAGUUUUGAAAAAUAACAUUCGAGUUUUCAACAUAACACAUUUCCUAGUAAGAGCAAGCUAAAGACAGUGCUUGCACUACACAGUUAGAUGCAGAUUGCAGAGGGGACAUUUCCUCAGCUCUGGAGAUUAUACUUUCUUUUCUUUUUUUGGGAGAAAACACAAUGUUUGUUCUCUGGACCAAAUAAUAUUUUGUAAAUUUCCAUGGAUGUGAAAUAAAGGAUAUUUUUGCUGAGGCAUAUCAA